Long non-coding RNA from Apis dorsata (giant honeybee), 1238 nucleotides. RefSeq lists it as uncharacterized. Lineage: Eukaryota; Metazoa; Arthropoda; Insecta; Hymenoptera; Apidae. The transcript has 2 exons. The record is from RefSeq and is a predicted model, not a curated record.
UCAUCAAUGAAAAUUUCUCCAGUUCGAGAUAACGUUGCAACGAGCAAAAUCCUUGAGAUGUUAGAUCCCAUAUCGGGAAAGUGGCAGGAAUUCCGAGCAAACGGGACACCCUGUAUUCGUUUGGUUGUGUAAUCGGCCUUAAGGAUAAACGGACGCACACACAUUUAAGUACCAUUCGCAAGUAGGGAGGUUCGUAUCACAAAACGGCCAAGUGAAAGGAUAGGCACCAGUUCAUCUUGUGUCUCAACCUCCAACCAACCUUCUCGAAUAUAUCCAUUCGUGCUGCAAGUGCGUCAGCUAUUCGCAUAAAACAACGGUUAAUUCGAAUUCACGUCGUUCACUCGGCGAGCGAAACGAGAAACGCAGUUAUAUUAUUUCUUUGACUAUUUUUUCAGAAGGAAAAUACAUUCUGUUUAUUCGUUGCUUGUUUUACGAGGGCACGCAUAAGUUAUUACAUAAAUUUCUACCAUUCAUGGUGAUGCACAGACAUGGAUAGAAGAAUUAAAAAAAGUUACACAACAGCUAAAAGAUGCUACAAAUUCACCUUCUAUAAUUCUCAACAGGAAAUUUCAGCAAGUAUUUCCCUCAAUUUACCUAACACUACAAAAGAAUCAGCCAACAAUUUAUCAUCACACGACAUCUUUCUCUUAUUUCGAUCUUCAUCUACCAACGUGUAAUUAAGGAUCAUGAAUAUUCGACCGCCAUUCCGUUUCCUUUUUUCCAUCGAUCUAAACUAUCAGGAUCUCGAUCUAGAUAACUGACUAUAACAUUUCCACGAGCAAUUCAAUUUUACAUAGAAGGAAAAGCGAAAUCUGAAUCAACGAUAUUCUCAGACGUUGAACAUCUUCGAAAGCGUGCACAACAUCUGUUCGCCUUAACUGUGAAAUCACCCCCAAUUUCCAACGUGGAAAGAAACCUUUCGAACUCAACUCGACUGGACAAAAUAACGAUGAAAUCACAGAGGAACGCGCCGCUUGCACGGAUCGAGGAUGCACCUGCAUCUGGUGCAUUUUCGGAUGGAUCACUGGCCAGAUGUCUCUCAUACCCGUGUCAAGCUUUGGUACACGUUUCUGGCUGUUGUUCAAAAUUAUCCAGAAUUCGAUUAUUCUUUUUGAAGUGAAUUUGCAAAUAAUUUAACAUAGACAUAAUUUAACAUUUUAAAUAUUGUUCACUGCUUUGAUUGAGUGCUGUUAUGUGAAAUGUUGUAUUCAUUGAAUUGAUAAUAUGAAUAAUAAUGA